CGGGAAGGCAGAAAGGAAAGAAGUUCCACCCACAGGAGUCUGGUAAAUGCUAGAAGAGAGUGACCUGAACUCAAGAUGAGGGAUCCAUUGGUCCUGCCAGCAGGAGGGUGUCAGACAGCUUCACACACAGAGAGAGAACUUUUCAUCAAGGCUUGAAGGACUCUGCCCACCCCCUGUUCAGACCCAUUCUCCAGCCCCAAGCAGGGAUUCCACACUGUAGGAGGAGAGAUUGAUGACCCAGAGGGCAAGAAAAGAAAGUGUUUCAGAAGACUCUCAAAAUGCUCUGCCCUGAAAACGAGGGGUUAUGAUGGAAUAGAUUCAGUGCCUGGCUCAUUGUGGGAUAUCAACAAAGAGCUGAAGAAGGAAGGAAAGAAGAAAGAAAGGGGAACAGACAAGAGAUAGGGACACAGGGAAAGAGGAACUCAGCAACAAUAUAAUUUUCCCAAAUUUAUCAGCAAAAGAGCACCUGGAGUUUGGAGUCUGGAGAUUAUCGUUCACCUACCACACGUAGGUUGCCCACUUAAUCCACCUGAGCCUCUUUUUACGAAUCCAAAGGCAGAAUAUUUCCAACACAGAUUUGGUAAUAAACUGGGUGCUCUGACAUAUGGUUAGCAGUAUUGUGAAUUGGUACAUCUCACUGGAAAAGCAAUUUAUCAGUACAAAUCAAGAGUAUACAAAAAUAUGCACACUUUUGACUGAGUUCUGAGUUUCUGUUCUACAAAAUAAUUCCCAUAUAUUAAAAAAAAAAACACUUGUACAAAUAUUAAAAUAGCCUGAGUCCCUGAUGACAUUGUGGUCUCUGAACUGUUUUAUAUGGGAG
This 820-nucleotide long non-coding RNA is filed under the name Homo sapiens (human). RNAcentral's name for it is "HSALNT0023600". Lineage: Eukaryota; Metazoa; Chordata; Mammalia; Primates; Hominidae. The record is from RNAcentral.